Molecule: transfer RNA, 73 nt
Filed under: Cordylochernes scorpioides
Lineage: Eukaryota; Metazoa; Arthropoda; Arachnida; Pseudoscorpiones; Chernetidae
Description: tRNA-Thr
Rfam family: tRNA
About the family: Transfer RNA (tRNA) molecules are approximately 80 nucleotides in length. Their secondary structure includes four short double-helical elements and three loops (D, anti-codon, and T loops).
Source: RNAcentral
UCCAGGGUAGCCUAGUGGACAUGGCAUCUGCCCGGUAAGUGGAACAUUGUGGGUUCGAUUCCCAUUCCUGGAC